RNAcentral lists this ribosomal RNA (254 nucleotides) under uncultured bacterium. RNAcentral's name for it is "partial 16S ribosomal RNA". It matches the Rfam family "Bacterial small subunit ribosomal RNA", at positions 524 to 777 of the family's 1533-position model. The record is from RNAcentral.
UACGAAGGGGGCUAGCGUUGCUCGGAAUCACUGGGCGUAAAGCGCACGUAGGCGGAUUGCUAAGUCAGGGGUGAAAUCCUGGAGCUCAACUCCAGAACUGCCUUUGAUACUGGUGAUCUUGAGUCCGGGAGAGGUGAGUGGAAUUCCCGGUGUAGCGGUGAAAUGCGUAGAUAUCCGGAAGAACACCGGUGGCGAAGGCGGUCUGCUGGGCAGUUGCUGACACUGAGGCGCGACAGCGUGGGGAGCAAACAGGG